RNAcentral lists this non-coding RNA (23 nucleotides) under Cricetulus griseus (Chinese hamster). The record is from RNAcentral. Lineage: Eukaryota; Metazoa; Chordata; Mammalia; Rodentia; Cricetidae.
UCAUUGUAACUCAAAGGAUGGAA